Molecule: ribosomal RNA, 476 nt
Filed under: uncultured bacterium
Lineage: Bacteria
Description: bacterial SSU rRNA
Rfam family: Bacterial small subunit ribosomal RNA
Source: RNAcentral
GAUGAACGCUAGCGACAGGCUUAACACAUGCAAGUCGAGGGGUAACAGGGUAGCAAUACCGCUGACGACCGGCGCACGGGUGAGUAACGCGUAUGCAACCUGCCUAUAACUGGGGAAUAGCUCCCUGAAAGGGGAAUUAACACCGCAUAACACUAUUGAUUCGCAUGGAUUGGUAGUUAAAUGUAGCGAUACAGGUUAUAGAUGGGCAUGCGUGACAUUAGCUAGUUGGUGAGGUAACGGCUCACCAAGGCUACGAUGUCUAGGGGUUCUGAGAGGAAGGUCCCCCCACACUGGUACUGAGACACGGACCAGGACUCCUACGGGAGGCAGCAGUGAGGAAUAUUGGUCAAUGGGCGCAAGCCUGAACCAGCCAUGUCGCGUGCAGGAAGACUGCCCUAUGGGUUGUAAACUGCUUUUAUAGUAGAAGAAACACAUCUACGUGUAGAUGUCUGCCAGUAUACUAUGAAUAAGCAUCC